CACAUGCAAGUCGAGGGGCAGCAUGAACUUAGCUUGCUAAGUUUGAUGGCGACCGGCGCACGGGUGAGUAACACGUAUCCAACCUGCCGAUGACUCGGGGAUAGCCUUUCGAAAGAAAGAUUAAUACCCGAUGGCAUAGUUCUUCCGCAUGGUAGAACUAUUAAAGGAUUUCGGUCAUCGAUGGGGAUGCGUUCCAUUAGGUUGUUGGCGGGGUAACGGCCCACCAAGCCUUCGAUGGAUAGGGGUUCUGAGAGGAAGGUCCCCCACAUUGGGACUGAGACACGGCCCAAACUCCUACGGGAGGCAGCAG
Molecule: ribosomal RNA, 310 nt
Filed under: uncultured bacterium
Lineage: Bacteria
Description: bacterial SSU rRNA
Rfam family: Bacterial small subunit ribosomal RNA
Source: RNAcentral